Molecule: ribosomal RNA, 465 nt
Filed under: uncultured Klebsiella sp.
Lineage: Bacteria; Pseudomonadati; Pseudomonadota; Gammaproteobacteria; Enterobacterales; Enterobacteriaceae
Description: bacterial SSU rRNA
Rfam family: Bacterial small subunit ribosomal RNA
Source: RNAcentral
CCUACGGGGGGCUGCAGUGGGGAAUAUUGCACAAUGGGCGCAAGCCUGAUGCAGCCAUGCCGCGUGUGUGAAGAAGGCCUUCGGGUUGUAAAGCACUUUCAGCGGGGAGGAAGGCGUUAAGGUUAAUAACCUUGGCGAUUGACGUUACCCGCAGAAGAAGCACCGGCUAACUCCGUGCCAGCAGCCGCGGUAAUACGGAGGGUGCAAGCGUUAAUCGGAAUUACUGGGCGUAAAGCGCACGCAGGCGGUCUGUCAAGUCGGAUGUGAAAUCCCCGGGCUCAACCUGGGAACUGCAUUCGAAACUGGCAGGCUAGAGUCUUGUAGAGGGGAGUAGAAUUCCAGGUGUAGCGGUGAAAUGCGUAGAGAUCUGGAGGAAUACCGGUGGCGAAGGCGGCCCCCUGGACAAAGACUGACGCUCAGGUGCGAAAGCGUGGGGAGCAAACAGGAUUAGAUACCCCUGUAGUC